GCUGGGUGCCGUGGUGGAUGCCUGUAAUCCCUGCGGCUCAGGAGGCUGGGGCAGGAGGAUCAAGAGUUCAAAGUCAGCUUCAGCAACUUAGUGAGGCCCUAAGCAGCUCAGUGAGACCCUGUCUCCA
This 127-nucleotide small RNA is filed under the name Marmota monax (woodchuck). Lineage: Eukaryota; Metazoa; Chordata; Mammalia; Rodentia; Sciuridae. The record is from RNAcentral.